GUGCUCACUUCACCAGCACAUACACUAAAAUUGGAAUGAUCCAGAGAAGAUUAGCAUGGCCCCUGCUCAAAGAUGACACAGAAAUUCGUGAAGCACUCCUUAUUUUU
Small nuclear RNA from Cervus hanglu yarkandensis (Yarkand deer), 107 nucleotides. The record is from Ensembl. NCBI's taxonomy places the organism in Eukaryota, Metazoa, Chordata, Mammalia, Artiodactyla, Cervidae.